RNAcentral lists this ribosomal RNA (291 nucleotides) under Acinetobacter baumannii. RNAcentral describes it as "partial 23S ribosomal RNA". It matches the Rfam family "Bacterial large subunit ribosomal RNA", at positions 933 to 1234 of the family's 2925-position model. The record is from RNAcentral. Lineage: Bacteria; Pseudomonadati; Pseudomonadota; Gammaproteobacteria; Moraxellales; Moraxellaceae.
GGGUUACUGACCUUAGCCAAACUCCGAAUGCCGGUAAGUGAGAGCGCGGCAGUGAGACUGUGGGGGAUAAGCUCCAUGGUCGAGAGGGAAACAGCCCAGAGCAUCGACUAAGGCCCCUAAGCGUACGCUAAGUGGGAAAGGAUGUGGAGUNNGAAGCAGCCACCCUUGAAAGAGUGCGUAAUAGCUCACUGGUCAAGUGAUUCCGCGCCGACAAUGUAGCGGGGCUCAAGCGUACCGCCGAAGUCGUGUCAUUUCAGCAUGAGGGCCAACGCCCGCUGGGAUGGGUAGGGG